UCUUGCGUGAGUCAGCGUUUCUUCGAUAUUAUAUUUGUUUCGUAAAAAGUUUGCUAUAUUAUUAUGAACUUGACGAACGUUCUCUAUAAGACCGUUGCUUAUUCAAACAAUUUUACUUUCUGGCCAAACGUGGCUCCAAUGGCCACUCGUCUUUUCGUUUGAACAAUCAGUUAAUCCUUCGUUAAUUCUUAUCAGCAAUCUAUUAAAAUCUUUUUACCAAAACUUUAUGUCUGAAAUAGUUUGAAUAUUUUUAUAUUUUCUUCUUCAUCUUAAAAUGUCAACUUUCACCGCUAAUUCCAGACCAAAUCCAUUCGCAUUUUUUUCACUCUUGUAUUAUUAAUAUACAUAUUAUUACAUAUCAAAUAUUCAGAUAUAUCUAGAUUAACGAACAUUGGACAAUUCUUAAUAAAAUUCACAAGAAAAUUUUUCUAGCAUCGAUCAUUACGCUUUCCAGGAUUCCAGCCUGCAAAUUUAGGCGAUUUUUUCAAACUUGCCUCCGACGUUUUGUAAGCAAAUGAAGACAAUUUGUGAACUUAUGUCACGGAGCUCGAACUUUAGCAAGAUCGUGAUCUCUGCUCUCGGUAUGCAACCUGUUGCCUUCGUGGCAAAAAGGUAUCUCAUCAGUAAGUAGAGUUCGUGAAUUUGUGGUGAACUUUAACACACCUCUGAUCUACGAGGCUUCGUUAACGGUAUAAUAAUUAAUUUCUAUUUCACGAAAUUGCAUGUAAAUCGCCUGAAUAAACGAUUUCUAAAUUAGACGUAAAAAUUAGAAUAUUUUAAGAUGAAUUUGAUGGAAAAUUUGCAAAGUAUAUUAUUGUCGACUAAUUUAAUAUUGUAGCAUAUAUCACGCUUUGCUGCAAAUGCAGUGUAACGUAAUUAUUCAAUUUUGCAGAUAUUUCGCUAUAAUUCAUAGUACGAUUAAUAGUAUUAAUUAACAUUAUUAAUACAAUUAACGGUACAGUAUGUAUAGAUUAUUCGUAAUUUCUGGUAAAGAACAAGCACCGAUAAUAGUGGGAAGAUAACUUUUGAAAAAAUCUUUUGAAGAAAAAAGAGAAAAUGAAUAUUCAAGUGUAUUAAUUAUUCUGAUCUGUUUAUAGCACGUAUUAGUACAUGUUACGGAAUAAUCUCAGGUCGUUAAAUAUCAAUCGGAUGGUGAAAUAAGUAUUACAAAAGCACCGCGAGUUCAAUUUGGUUAUUCGAUAUAGAAAAUGAGAGUGGAAUUGGAGUGGAGCACAAGCGAUGAUAAUUUUCCUUAUAAAGGAGAAUUAUGAGUCGAGACGCAGGUGACGGGCGCGGUAGACGGCGUUUUUGACAGUACGAUCAUUUUUCAAGGGUGUGCGGCAAAGUGGUCGACAAAGAGAAACGACGAAUAAGUUGAAGUCGGUGCGAAAUGGCGAGACAUUUUUUAGCAGGCAAUGCUGAGUCUCCUAUAAAUAUGUAAUACCAAUCUUCUAGCCGACUGUACCAAGCAUUUUUACCCUUUCUAGACUGGCGUCGUUUGUCACAUCUUGUCAAAUUAAGCCUUGAACUUCCUUUUCGUGGCAACGAGCGUGACGCACAAGAAACUCUUGCAAAUAAGUAGUGUGACGUUACGCAACCCAUACUGAGAGAUAUCUCUAGAGGGGUACCGAAUCGAUAAUGUAUAGUAUGUAUGUGUAAUACGAAUAGUAAUCCUACUUAAUGGCUCUCGGAGACGACAGAUUGACCAAGCCAAUUGUUCAAACAUCGGGUUAGGAAGAUGAUGGAUGGAAUUGAAGGCAAUGAAUAAAUGGAUCUUGGCAAUGAGCUUGACGACGUGCCUCCUCGUUUCUCCUUCUUCUUCUUCUACUUCUUCUUCUUCUUCUGACAUUAUAAGAAUCAUCUUUGAGUACACUUUGAGAAAAAGUAAGUUAACAGAUCAUUGGAACAUGGAUACUAACGACGGAGUCAAGUUUAACGGGAACCCAAGUCGGUCUUAAUAGAAAAAUUUUACUUACUAAGAGACAAUGUUUCAUUUCCUAUAUUUAAAGAAACCAUUUCAAAAUUGUAGACGGCUAUUUCGUCUCGAAUCAAAUCUACGAUAUUGCGUAUUAUGCGUGCGUAUUAUGUACAUACUUUUCAAAUACUAUGUGAUUCGAUUCCUUCAGUGUUUAUAAAUACAUAGAUUCUCGAAUUCUAUGAGUGCUUGGACUGGAGUUCGAAAUGAGCUUGUACAACCUAAUCCUAAAUACUUACUUUCUAAGUUUCUUUUACAACAAGUGUUUGCGUCAACAAUUGUUUAGAAUUUUCAAAUAUAAAUACGUAUCGAAAUUGGUUCAGUCCAAUAAUCUUGGGAAUGCUUGGAUAGAUUGCUGAAAGAGAUUCCGUAAUAAUACGAAAUAAAUUAAAAACUAUUUAAAACUGCGUGAAUUAAUUGGAUAAAUUUUUGAUAAGAUUGCAACACUUUACAAAUUCAUCACGUGUCACAACUGAGUUCACUUAAGUCACGUAUUUGAAUUGAUGGGAUAAUAUCUUUGCGACACUGUAGCCAAUUUUGAUGGGAAUUUUGUAAUAGCCAAAGGAUGACACACAGUGCACACUCGUGUAAGCGAAUUUGGGAAAUGCGCUAGCUGGGUUUUCACCUACGGCGAAUUUACCCUGGUUCGAUGUUUAUAAUUCGAGAAGGGCCUGGCUUUAAUUACCACCCUGCAGUGUUUACACGAGCCGUAAUAUUUGAUGCGACCAGAUAGGACCUCCGUUGACGUGGAUGGACCGCAUAUCGCCAGAGAAAUAUGUAUUAUAUCGAACAUUUUACCGAAAUACAAAGUUUUUCAACAAGAGACUACGAAAGAGAGAAUGACUUGCAUUUUCUAAUCAGGGCAUAUUUACUUGGUACGCGAACAGGGCGCAUAUAACGUGCUUGUUAACAAUGCAAAUGACUCGAAGCUAGGCUAAUAGAAAGAAAGAACGGAAGGAGAAAAGCAACUGGUAAACAAAAUGCAGAAAAAUUGUUCAAUUUCCGCGACCGGAGACUGUUUACCUCCAACGACCAAGGACGCGACAUAACAUAGCUUCAAUAAUUUAUUAUUUUAUUCCUGACUGCAUUGCGGAAACACGCCAACAAAAAUCGUACGUACACCGACGGAGAGCAAAGAAAUUCUCUAAAACCACUCUAACUCCAAGAAUUUAUGAAAAUAU
Long non-coding RNA from Bombus terrestris (buff-tailed bumblebee), 3156 nucleotides. RefSeq lists it as uncharacterized. The transcript has 3 exons. Lineage: Eukaryota; Metazoa; Arthropoda; Insecta; Hymenoptera; Apidae. The record is from RefSeq and is a predicted model, not a curated record.